CUACUUACCUGGCAGGGGAGAUACCAUGAUCACAAAGAUGUUUUUUUCCAGGGCCAGGCUUAUCCACUGCACUCCGGAUGUGCUGACCCCCCCCAGAUUUCCCCAAAUGUGGGAAACUAGACUGUAUAUUUUGUGGUAGUGGGGGACUUCAUUUGUGCUCUCACCUG
This is a non-coding RNA of Erinaceus europaeus (western European hedgehog), 167 nucleotides long. Lineage: Eukaryota; Metazoa; Chordata; Mammalia; Eulipotyphla; Erinaceidae. The record is from Rfam.